This 292-nucleotide ribosomal RNA is filed under the name uncultured prokaryote. Its description in RNAcentral is "partial 16S ribosomal RNA". It matches the Rfam family "Archaeal small subunit ribosomal RNA", at positions 455 to 747 of the family's 1478-position model. The record is from RNAcentral.
GUGUCAGCGCCCCGGUAAUAACGGCAGCUCCAGUGAUGACCGAUUUUAUUGGGCCUAAAGCGUCCGUAGCUGGCCAGGCAAGUCCGUUGGGAAAUCCACCUGCUCAAAAGGUGGGCGUCCAGCGGAAACUGCUUGGCUUGGGACCGGAAGAUCCAAGGGGUACGUCCGGGGUAGGAGUGAAAUCCUGUAAUCCUGGACGGACCGCCGAUGGCGAAAGCACCUUGGAAGGACGGAUCCGACAGUGAGGGACGAAAGCUUGGGUCUCGAACCGGAUUAGAUACCCGCGUAGUCC